UCCCCAAUCCCUUAGCCCCUUUUUAGCUUAGAAUUACUAAAGCUUUGAUCUUGGGCAGACUGUUAUUGUUGAUUCAUCACUUGAUAUGGGGAGUCUAAUUGCAUUUGAGAGGGAUUUGGGAAAGAAUGUAGCUACUGGAAUAACUCUUCUUGUUAUGAGUUAUGUUUCUAAGUUUCAUUUAGAGCUGCCAUGAUUCUAAGUUCUUGGUCCUCUACUGUGCUAGCUCUAUAUGAUGCAAGGUUAUUAGGUGUUGAGGUUGUUGGGAUUACCUUAACGUAGUUGAAUACUCCUCAGUGGUGGCUGUCCUUGCCGUCACUGCUCGCUGCCCUCUCCCUCCUCCCUCGCUGCUCUUCGCGCUAGGCGUUGCAGAAUUUGUGGUGAUGGAAUGUGGUGGUGGAGGAGGUGAAGAGAGGUUGCUUAUAUGGUGCUAAGCUAUUGAAAGCUAGGUACAUGGAGGCAUUCUUGGAGCUUGUGGAGGGAAGCAAAAAUCGAGAAGGAUGGGGGAAGAAGAAGAAGAGAUCCUAUCCCCACUAUGCUUGCAUUCUCAUUCUUACUUCUAGCUUGGAGCCAAAGACUUAGGUCUUGAGACCAUUAGGAUAGUAGUAGCUUGUCAUUAUUCAUUCUUGUACCAAAUAAAGAUGUAUAUACUUAAAUACUUUAUUCUCAUGCAUUUCUAUUUCUCCAAACAUUUUCACAUUUCUCUAGUGAAAGUAUUUCCUCCA
Salvia hispanica is the source of this 722-nucleotide non-coding RNA. NCBI's taxonomy places the organism in Eukaryota, Viridiplantae, Streptophyta, Magnoliopsida, Lamiales, Lamiaceae. The record is from RefSeq and is a predicted model, not a curated record.